UACGUAGGGGGCAAGCGUUGUCCGGAUUUAUUGGGCGUAAAGAGCGUGUAGGCGGUUAGGUAGGUCCGUUGUGAAAACUCGAGGCUCAACCUCGAGACGCCGAUGGAAACCAUCUGACUAGAGUCCGGAAGAGGAGAGUGGAAUUCCUGGUGUAGCGGUGAAAUGCGCAGAUAUCAGGAAGAACACGCGUGGCGAAGGCGGCUCUCUGGGACGGUACUGACGCUGAGACGCGAAAGCGUUGGGAGCGAACAGG
Molecule: ribosomal RNA, 253 nt
Filed under: uncultured bacterium
Lineage: Bacteria
Description: partial 16S ribosomal RNA
Rfam family: Bacterial small subunit ribosomal RNA
Source: RNAcentral